GGGCCUAAUAUUUAAGCCAUGGGCCAGGUCUUCUUCAAAGUGUUUGUUGUCAGCAGUUUCCCAACCACGUGACAGGGAACUUGACUUCAGUCUGGAUCAAGGCAGUUCUCAAGCAGCAGUUGGAAGAUGAACUCAGCCACGGAGGACUAGGGAGGCAGCAGCAGCUCCCAAGCUGGAUAAAGGAAGAGGAGAUCAUUAUAAGAACCCUGAGAAACUUAUGUUGUGUCCAUGAACCCCAUUGGGUAAGGGAUUAGAAUUAUUACUUUUCCAGUCACCUUCAUUUCAAAUACAGAAGUAUAAUCUGAAA
RNAcentral lists this long non-coding RNA (307 nucleotides) under Dasypus novemcinctus (nine-banded armadillo). RNAcentral's name for it is "lncRNA (ENSDNOG00000050804.1)". The record is from RNAcentral. Lineage: Eukaryota; Metazoa; Chordata; Mammalia; Cingulata; Dasypodidae.